Bactrocera dorsalis (oriental fruit fly) is the source of this 2614-nucleotide long non-coding RNA. RefSeq lists it as uncharacterized. Lineage: Eukaryota; Metazoa; Arthropoda; Insecta; Diptera; Tephritidae. The record is from RefSeq and is a predicted model, not a curated record. The transcript has 3 exons.
UAAAAUUGCAAAAGAAUACGCUAGAUCAGUGUUUUUCAAUCUUUUUGAUUUCGCGACCCCUUUACAGGUUGAAAUAUUCUGGCGACCCCCUUCUGUCAUAAUAAGUCAAAGAAAUAAUUUAAUUUUAAAAAAGGUAAUAAGUUUUUCCUAUUUUGGCAAAUUUAUCUCUUAUUCGCGCGGGUCAUACUGCGUCGGCGACGGCGACGUUGCCACACCGCAGUGCAUGAUUGUCGAUGCGGUAACAGCAAACGCCCUGCGCGAGUUACCAGUUUUGUGUAGGUGCUUCUUCCUUUAUUCAAAUAAAAUCUAGAAAUGCAGUGCUGUUGCUUCUGUUUCGGAUCAAAGUUCACGCUCGAAUGAAUUAGAAAAAUAGACGCUUCGCGAUUCUCUCUAAAAAAAUACCUGCUUCGCGAUUCUUUCUAAAAAAAUAGAUGCUUAGUGAUUCUCUCUUCUCUUCUCUUAAACUCUCAGCAUCUGUACAAAUAGGGUAGAGAAGGUACUCGCGCGCCACCCGCAAUGUUCUUUUGUUUCAACUCUCAUCACUCAGUUAAGCGUAGUCGCCGAUGAGUUCAGACGUCAUUUUUUUUGUUUUUUCGCUUGCUCUGCGCGAAUUAAAUGGAUAAAUUUCUCAAAAGAUCGCAGCCUUCAACUUCUGGUACGAGUAUCAAUAGCGGUGGUGGUGAAUCGAAUCCGAAAAAAAAUAGACAUUACGAUGACAGUUAUUUGAAAUACGGGUUCACAGUCAUAAAUAAUAAACCUCAAUGUGUAAUUUGCAGCGAUGUUUUAUCACGUGAGAGUAUGAAACCGUCAAAGCUUAUGCGACAUCUCUCAAACAAGCAUCAAAAAGAAGCUGAUAAGCCGUUGGAUUUCUUUGAACGAAAGUUGAAAGCUCUUAGUCAGAAGCAAAAUACUAUAAUUCAGGCAUCCAGUGUGAACGAGUCAACAUUAUUAGCUAGCUACAUAGUCGCAUAUCGACUAACCACAUACAAUUGCCGAAAAUCUUAUUUUGCCAGUGGCACUCGAUAUGGUUGAAAUUAUGAAUAAACGAUAUGGCCAAGGAUAUUCAAGUAGUCGAUAAAUUAAAGAAUAGCCAACAUUUUGCUUUGCAGUUCGAUGAAUCUACAGAUGUUUCCGACUGUGCACAGUUUGUAGUGUUUGUGCGUUUUGAGGCAGAUGACAGUAUUACGGAAGAAAUCUUAUUUUGCAAAGCACUUCCUGCAAACACUACUGGCCAGUGUUUGUACGAUAUGUUUUUAGAAAGCACUUGCGACUACGAUAUUGAUUGGAAAAAAUGUAUCGCUAUUUGUAGCGAUGGCGCUAAAGCUAUGACUGGCAAAAAUAGCGGACUCAUUGCAAAAUUAAAAUCGAUAAUACCAAACAUAUCCUGGACACACUGUUUUCUUCAUCGACAAGCUCUAGCUGCUAAGGUAGUACCUUCUGAUUUAAAUGACGUGCUCAAGGAGGUAAUAAAAAUUGUGAAUUCUAUCAAAGGUAAAGCUUUGCAAACCCGGCUAUUCAGAAUCGUUUGUGAAGAUAUGGGCUCGCUUCAUCAAAAUCUCCUUUAUCACACAGAGGUCAGGUGGCUAUCCAAAGGAAAGGUAUUGACAAGAGUUCUGGAACUGAGAGCUGAAUUGUUAAUGUUCUUACAAAAUGCAAAAUCAGAAUAUGCUUACCGUUUUUCUGGCCCUAUUUGGCUCUUGAAAUUAGCAUUUUUGGCAGAUAGUUUUAGCCACCUUAACAAUUUGAACAAGAACCUUCAAGGAAGAUAAGAAAUUUUAACAGCUAAAGAUAAAGUAAAAGCAUUUCACGCAAAACUUCGUUUGUGGUCGACCUCUCUGCAAAACAAAAUGUUUGAGUCUUUUCCGUGUAUUCAGAAGAUUGUUGAAGAUAAUGCAUCAGACCAAAGUUUUGCAGUAUCGGCUCAUAUCCCUUGCAUGAUACAAAGCUUGCAUAAUUUACAAGAGAAACUUUUGACAUACUUUCCAGACUUGCACUCUGAAGCUGACAAUGGGCGUAGAUGGAUCUUAAACCCUUUUUUUGAACAAAUCAAUAGAUCUGGCUGAUGUCAACACGAAAUGAAAGAAUGUCUUCUAGAAUUAGCUGCUAAUGGCAUGCUAAAAAUGGAAUUUUAUUCGCAAAGUGUCGACGUAUUUUGGAUGAAAAGAAAACACGAAUAUCCAGAGCUGGCAAGGGAAGCUCUUAAAUUAUUAGUGCCAUUCGCCACUUCAUACUUGUGUGAACUGACAUUUAGACUGGUAGACAAAAACUAAAAAGAGAAAUAGACUGCAAUUAGAAAAUGAUUUAAUUAUUAAUGUUUCAAAAAUAACACCACAAUUUGAUAAACUAAUGAAAAAUAAACAAGUACAUCUUUCUCAUUAAAAUUGUGUUUUUGUUGUGUAAGAACCUCGACUUUUUCUUUCAGCUGGCGACCCCCCGAGUAAGGGUUCACGACCCCCUUAGGGGUCGCGACCCACAGAUAGAAAAACACUGCGCUAGAUCAUUGUUUGAAUAUUUUCUUCCACAAAAUUAUCAUCGCUUUCUAUGGCGCUAGCAGUUAUAUUGGUUGGGUCUGAAAUGUUCUGUUCCAAAAUAUCAUCUGUUAUAAAUCCGGAUG